UACGGAGGGGGCUAGCGUUGUUCGGAAUUACUGGGCGUAAAGCGCGCGUAGGCGGACCUGCAAGUCGGGGGUGAAAGCCCGAGGCUCAACCUCGGAACUGCCUUCGAUACUGCGGGUCUCGAGUCCGGGAGAGGUGAGUGGAAUUCCAGGUGUAGCGGUGAAAUGCGUAGAUAUCUGGAGGAACACCGGUGGCGAAGGCGGCAUCCUGGACCAAUUCUGACGCUGAGGAGCGAAAGCCAGGGGAGCAAACGGG
Molecule: ribosomal RNA, 253 nt
Filed under: uncultured bacterium
Lineage: Bacteria
Description: partial 16S ribosomal RNA
Rfam family: Bacterial small subunit ribosomal RNA
Source: RNAcentral